CAAAAUGUGAAACUUAAAGCUACAGGAAUAAAUAUUCAUAUAUAUAAAAUGUGCUUUUUUCAGUGUUUGUUGUGCGCUCAACAUGUCCUCAGAUCUCUGACUGGAGUUCUGUUCGUCGGGUCCUUUGCUCCGGAAGAUGUCUGAUAUAACUCCAUCCGUUUAUAAGAAGUGUGAGUGAAACAAUCCUUUAAACAAAGCUGUGAAGCAUAUUUAUCCACAAUAUAUGGGAUGAAACUUUGACUGAUAUGUUUUUCUUUCUUUGGGUUUGCGACGGAUCUGUUACACAUCUUUCCUUCGUGUUCACUUUUACAUCCACCUCUCUCAUCUGUGCCACAUCCCUCAGAGAGCUCCUUUAACAACUGCUCAGUAGUUUGAAAAGCUUUGGUGGCUAAAGAAAAUGACCUGCAGAGAUUUCUUUCCAAAGCUUUACCUGAAGUGACAGGUCUGCUUUCUAAAAGCGGAGAACACAACGUGACAAGGCAGCUUUCAAAGGACACUCGGGAGAAAUGUCAGGCGACGGAGGAGAGGCCAGAGCUGGGAGGAGAGGCCAGAGCUGGGAGAGGCCUCCGGUGACGUCGGGUCACAGGCUGUCUCUCAGGACGACACGUGUCGGAGACCUGGAGGAGAAGAUCUGCAGCACGUGGAGACUCUGCACAGCCGGACGGAGAAGACUGACAGGCGGGUGACUGUGACGAGGAGGCGUCUUCCUGCAGAGGCCGAUUACAGACACUUUGAAACAAGCAGACGACACCUGAAGCAGAACAUUUCCCUUGUCAAUUAGAUUUUCUCAUCGGACUCGGACACACACACACACACACACACACACACACACACACACACACACACACACACACACACACACAGGGCCUGAUAGAAAGCGUUGUGCCGUGACGGCCCUGUGAUAAUCUGCUAGUCUGUGAUGUGCUGCAGAUUAAACUCCAUCAAACACAGUUUUAAUUGAGAAAAUGUUUUUACAAGCGUUUAGCUGGAAAUAAAUCUUUAUGUAACAUUAACAUUUAAAGGAAUAACCACACUGUGAUGUGUAAAGAUAUCUGUGGUCAACACUACGUUUGGUUUACAGUAAAGUGAUAUUUUGAGUCACUGUCACCUAAAUGAUUUAGAUAAACGUUUAUUUUAUGUUUUCCAACAGCAACAGUUAUAAACCGACAGAUUGUAGAUGAAACUAUCCAAUAAAGUGUUAAGUUAACAAUAAAGUGAUGCUUCAUGCAUCUGUAAUGUCCCAUAAUGUUCUCUAACUCUCUACACUUUGUUUCUCACUUUGUCUGUAUGAGGCCCGAAGCUUCAGUUCAGACGUCACAACAAGACACGUAAAACAUAAACUCAAUAUGAAAGUAAUAAAUUAAAUCUGGUUGUUUCUUGAUGUGGU
Molecule: long non-coding RNA, 1387 nt
Filed under: Cottoperca gobio
Lineage: Eukaryota; Metazoa; Chordata; Actinopteri; Perciformes; Bovichtidae
Description: lncRNA (ENSCGOG00000016939.1)
Source: RNAcentral